RNAcentral lists this ribosomal RNA (525 nucleotides) under uncultured fungus. RNAcentral's name for it is "eukaryotic LSU rRNA". The stretch from base 162 to 315 matches the Rfam family "5.8S ribosomal RNA". The record is from RNAcentral. Lineage: Eukaryota; Fungi.
AAUAUGAAGGCCGGGUGGCUUCGCGCUGCCGGGCUGAAUUAUUUUUUUCCCCAUGUCUUUUGCGUACUUGUUGUUUCCUGGGCGGGUUCGCCCGCCACCAGGACCAAACCAUAAACCUUUUUCGUGUGCAAUCAGCGUCAGUAAACAACGUAAUUUAUUACAACUUUCAACAACGGAUCUCUUGGUUCUGGCAUCGAUGAAGAACGCAGCGAAAUGCGAUACGUAGUGUGAAUUGCAGAAUUCAGUGAAUCAUCGAAUCUUUGAACGCACAUUGCGCCCUUUGGUAUUCCAAAGGGCAUGCCUGUUCGAGCGUCAUUUGUACCCUCAAGCUUUGCUUGGUGUUGGGCGUUUGUCUCGCGGCUUCUGCCUGGAGACUCGCCUCAAAACGAUUGGCAGCCGGCCUACUGGUUUCGGAGCGCAGCACAUUUUUGCGCUUUUCAACUGGCAGACGGCACUCCAUCAAGUCGAUUUAUUUUUACUUUUGACCUCGGAUCAGGUAGGGAUACCCGCUGAACUUAAGCAUAU